UUUUCGAAACAUUGUUACGACGACAUAAGUUUUAUCGAUUUUGCAAACUACUUCGUAAGCUGUUUUAAAAAGUUAAUAAUGUAAGUAAAAAAACAGACAUUAAAAAUGAACCAGUUUUUUUUUUCUCAAGAACAAAUGUUUCUUUUGGUUCUGCUCCAACCAAGUUCUGCUGGAAAACCGAUGGCAACAAAAAAGCCCAAUGAAUUAUGUCGCUAACAUUCAACACAUUUGGAUUUUCUUGUGUCUUUUAUUCAGUAUCUAGAUACACAGAUAUGUCCAGAAAACUUUAAAUCUAAGCCUACUAAACCCUAAACAAAACCCACCUUUUUCCACAAAUAUAUCGAUAUACGCAACAAAACACCUCAACAUUUACAAGAAAUCAAUAAAAAAAAUAAAACAAAACUACUGACACGUCCACAUCUCCCCGACCUCCCCGCGAGAAUAAACAUAUGACGUCACCGGCGGGUAAACAAACAAACAAACACAUGCGCGCCGCUCAUGUUUCCUUAAUACAAUUAUUAUUUCGAAUGUGGAACGCGAACGAGGCGGACGCCAUUCGCGAUUUAUUUUUAAAACUAGCUGACCGCUAACAAUUUAAACCUUUUUAAUAGCUAUAGUCAUAAUUGUUUCUUUUUAACUCCAACCUCCUUUGAUUUGAAACACCUUGUCUCUGGUCUUUUCUCUUUGGUUUUGUUCUGAGCGGUCUUGUCGUUUUAUUUUUACAUUGUUUUUGUUUACCGAGUAAAAAUAUGGAGUCAUGCUCGUGCAUUCGCCGUCAAAUCCGCUUACCAAUGUGUUUGCUUGCCGGUGCUGCUGGGUUCCAAAAGAAAAGAAGCUUGAAAUCCCUUUUGGUCUAAUUUUCGCCUUUGAAUCUUCCCGUUUCUUUCAAUUGAUGUUUCAUAGUCUCAUCUGUAUUCGAUGAAGAAUUUCGAUGAGUGACAAAAAUGAAUGAAUGACAAAAUAUGUAUACUUAAUAAAACUAGAAAUAAUUUAUUACUUACUUCAUUAAAAAAUCGAGAAAUACAUAGUUAGCUGUGGGUGAACAGAAUGAAAACCUUUUUUUUCAUAAAAAAAGUUUUUUAAUUUAAUCUAGGUAUUUAUCUUACAACUUAUUAAAUAUUAGUAACUAUUUCCCAUAACGAUAACGCAUAACAACUUAAUUCUAGCAUCUAUCGGUUCCAAAAAAUGUAAUUAACUUUGAGGACAAAACUAUAAUAUUUUGCUACUUUUUCAAGGCUGUUUGAUUGUUUGUAAAUGCUAAAACGUAUACGUAUAAAAUAAUUCGUAGACAUUAAAAUAAAUAUGGUCAGUAAAUAUAAGGAUUAUCGUCGUAGGCCUCGGUUUUUGAAUAAAUUAAACGAUUUAGUUGUGUGUUUACGUUUACAAUAAAUUAAAACAUAAUCAAUAAAA
Molecule: long non-coding RNA, 1410 nt
Organism: Helicoverpa zea (corn earworm)
Lineage: Eukaryota; Metazoa; Arthropoda; Insecta; Lepidoptera; Noctuidae
Exons: 2
Source: RefSeq, a predicted model, not a curated record